Molecule: ribosomal RNA, 215 nt
Filed under: Methanosarcina sp. enrichment culture clone 4
Lineage: Archaea; Methanobacteriati; Methanobacteriota; Methanomicrobia; Methanosarcinales; Methanosarcinaceae
Description: partial 16S ribosomal RNA
Rfam family: Archaeal small subunit ribosomal RNA
Source: RNAcentral
GAAGGCGCGAAAACUUUACCAUGCGGGUUACCGUGAUAAGGGGACACCGAGUGCCAGCGUCAUACGCUGGCUGUCCAGGUGUGUAAAAUACACCUGGAAGCAAGGGCAGGGCAAGACCAGUGCCAGCCGCCGCGGUAACUUAGGCGGCCCGAGUGGUGAUAGUGAUUAUUGGGUCUAAAGGGUAAGCUGCCGGUUUGGUCAGUCCUCCGGGAAAU